GAUGAACGCUGGCGGCGCGCCUAACACAUGCAAGUCGAACGAUUAAAGCACCUUCGGGUGUGUAUAAAGUGGCGAACGGCUGAGUAACACGUGGGCAACCUGCCCCUCUCAUUGGGAUAGCCACGGGAAACCGUGGAUAAUACCGAAUACUUCGGGACUUCCGCAUGGAAGACUCGAGAAAGCUCCGGCGGAGAGGGAUGGGCCCGCGGCCUGUUAGCUUGUUGGUGGGGUAAUGGCCUACCAAGGCAAUGAUGGGUAGCUGGGUUGAGAGACCGACCAGCCAGCUUGGGACUGAGACACGGCCCAGACUCCUACGGGAGGCAGCAGUGGGGAAUCUUGCACAAUGGGCGCAAGCCUGAUGCAGCGACGCCGCGUGCGGGAUGAAGGCCUUCGGGUUGUAAACCGCUUUCAGCAGGGACGAGGCGAAAGUGACGGUACCUGCAGAAGAAGCCCCGGCUAACUACGUG
This 467-nucleotide ribosomal RNA is filed under the name uncultured bacterium. Its description in RNAcentral is "partial 16S ribosomal RNA". It matches the Rfam family "Bacterial small subunit ribosomal RNA", at positions 28 to 507 of the family's 1533-position model. The record is from RNAcentral.